Molecule: ribosomal RNA, 824 nt
Filed under: uncultured organism
Description: bacterial SSU rRNA
Rfam family: Bacterial small subunit ribosomal RNA
Source: RNAcentral
GAUGAACGCUGGCGGUCUGCUUAACACAUGCAAGUCGAACGCAACCUUCGGGUUGAGUGGCGGACGGGUGAGUAACGCGUGAGAAUCUGCCUUGGGGUCGGGGACAACCACUGGAAACGGUGGCUAAUACCGGAUAAGCCUUUGGGUAAAAGAUUUAUUGCCCCAAGAGGAGCUCGCGUCUGAUUAGCUAGUUGGUGAGGUAAAAGCUCACCAAGGCAGCGAUCAGUAGCUGGUCUGAGAGGACGAUCAGCCACACUGGGACUGAGACACGGCCCAGACUCCUACGGGAGGCAGCAGUGGGGAAUUUUCCGCAAUGGGCGAAAGCCUGACGGAGCAAGACCGCGUGAGGGAGGAAGGCUCUUGGGUUGUAAACCUCUUUUCUCAGGGAAGAAGCUCUGACGGUACCUGAGGAAUCAGCCUCGGCUAACUCCGUGCCAGCAGCCGCGGUAAUACGGAGGAGGCAAGCGUUAUCCGGAAUUAUUGGGCGUAAAGCGUCCGCAGGUGGCGAUUCAAGUCUGCUGUCAAAGCACGGGGCUUAACUCCGUUAAGGCAGUGGAAACUGAAUAGCUAGAGUGCCGUAGGGGUAGAGGGAAUUCCCGGUGUAGCGGUGAAAUGCGUAGAGAUCGGGAAGAACAUCGGUGGCGAAAGCGCUCUACUGGACGGCAACUGACACUCAGGGACGAAAGCUAGGGGAGCGAAUGGGAUUAGAUACCCCAGUAGUCCUAGCUGUAAACGAUGGAUACUAGGUGUAGCUUGUAUCGACCCGAGCUGUGCCGAAGCUAACGCGUUAAGUAUCCCGCCUGGGGAGUACGCACGCAAGUGUG